GGGGGGGGGGCUAGGAUGAAAUUUGAAAAAAAUAGGCAGGACAGGAAUUUUGAGUAAAAAAAAAGGCAGGAUGAGACACUUGCAAAAAAAAAGUCAGGACGACAAUUUAGGUAAAAAAAAGUCAGGAUAAACUAAAAAGAAAAGGCAGGACCGAACAGAGUGAAAAAUAAAAAGGCAGGACAGAGAUUACAGCUAAAAAAAAAUGCAGGACAAAAUUUUUCAUCCUAGCCCCCCAAUAAAAAUCAAAUGGUAGCUCCCUAAU
RNAcentral lists this long non-coding RNA (262 nucleotides) under Mytilus galloprovincialis (Mediterranean mussel). The record is from RNAcentral. Lineage: Eukaryota; Metazoa; Mollusca; Bivalvia; Mytilida; Mytilidae.